Molecule: long non-coding RNA, 5891 nt
Organism: Coturnix japonica (Japanese quail)
Lineage: Eukaryota; Metazoa; Chordata; Aves; Galliformes; Phasianidae
Source: RefSeq, a predicted model, not a curated record
AGGAAGCUGCACUAUUUAAAAGCAGAAUGUGCAAAAAGCUGAUCUGCCUGGAGAUGAGGAGCAGAUAGGAACCGAGAUACCAGGAUGCAGAGAGAGAGUGAUAGAAGAAGGAAAUGGGGGAAGUACAGUGAUAAAGACAGCAAAUGGCACAUGAAAAAGGAGGUGAAGAAAUUCUGAGCCAGCAAGAAUAAAAAAAGAAGAAUAGAUGACGAAAUGUUGGCAACUGUGAGGAAGACUGACGGAUACACUCAAACUAGGACUAGCUCUGGCUCAGACAGCUGCAGAAACAGCUUGGCUUCAGACAUUUACCACAGCAGAUUUGCUUAAUCAAACAACCAUCAGAGCAGCUUUGUUCCAAGCAGUUGCCAAAAGCCUGUCAUGCUACAACUUCAAAAAGCUGUUCCAGCAGCUUUACUGCACACACCAGAGAUGCUCAUCGUGCAUGGAGGUGACGUCAUACAUUUCUGAGUCGGAAAAUUUGAGCACAGCUUCCCUCAGCAACCGUUUCAUGUGCACUUAAACCUUUCCCCAAGGGCAAAGUCCCUCAAUUUUAGAGCAGACCAGACAUCAGUUUGUGUCUACCCUCCAUCACCAUGAAACAACAGCAGCAGUAGCGGAUGAGGAGGAAAAAGACAUCCACAGCAAAGGUGAGAAGCCUUGGCAGCAAUAACAGGAAGAAGUCAAAAUAAGAAAGAACUACUAUACUGCUGUGGUGUUUGAGCACCAGAAACUGACUUAAGACCUUUGAAUGCAAUUCCAGAGGUGCUACCACAGGACUGCUCAGAUGCAGGGAAGAAACAAAGGAGUUAACUGGAGAGCAAAAUGCUUGUGAGCAACAAGACCUUUUCUGUUUCAAAGGAAAAUUCCAUGCUUUCCCUUCUGGUUGGCCUGCCGUAGCGGAUAUGCUUUUGGAGUACAGCAUGUACAGUGCAUAAGCAACUACUGGCAUUCAUGGUUGGCUUCCAAAUCAGCAGUGCUUAAAAAUACAAAGUGCAGAAUCGGUUCUUUCUUCUAUCCUGGGUUUUGUUGUUGCUGUUUUUGUUGCUAUUGUUGUUUUUAUUUUGAAACAGUAUUUGCUCUCUUAAAAACAUGAAUACAUAAUUUUAACCCUUUGCAACUAUUUCUCUGUUCAAUCUAAAUGUUCUUCCUUCCCUUCUGAUGUCAGUGGAAGACAGUUUUCAGUUUACUGUAAAGAAACAGCACUAUAGCUGACUACAGGAACCAACACUUCUGAAGACAGCAAAUAACAUCUCAGAGCCCACCCGGAGCAAUGCCAGAAGGUACGCUUCCUCUAACACAAGUACAGUCAGCAUGUUGCCUGAGUAUUGGAGGCUCUGUGUGAAACUUGCUUUAAAGAAUGUAACUAAAGGAGGUGACAAGCAAGGAUCAGUCUGAGAAUUUGGGCUUCAUCUUGAGAAAUCACUUCUCCUAAUCAGCAAAAUAUUUACUGUUAUCCAUACUCACUUCCCAGGUCAAUGUGUCUUGCUGGAAUUAAAUGACAUUGCUAUAGUUAUCUUUUAUAUUAUUUCACUGUCUACUCAUGCUGGGGGCAGACAGAGACACUGAAGAUAAUUAGGAAUGGAAACCUCCAGCGUGAAUGAAGAUGAUUAUUACUCAAAGCCAAGCAGCAGCUCAGUACGUCCUUGAAAAAUGUUAAAAACAUGGAAGUGUUCAAGAAUGAAUUGGUCAAAAAAACUGAGCAAGGAUGAGGAAAUUGCUCUCUCCAAAACUGUGGAGAGAAGAAAACCAAAGGACAGGAUGGCAGCAGGGCAUAAGGCCCAAGGGAGGGACCUUCUUGUAUUCUAAACCAGCUUCUCUAUGUAGCUGUGAUGUGAGUGGCAACAUUCACAUAUAGCAUGGCUGCAGUUUAGUUAGGAUGCACGUAACCAAACAGGGAGAACAAAGAGUUUUUUAGCCUUUAUGUCUAUGUAUAAAUGCGUCUCCACAAAGAAAAGGGUAAAUAUUCAGGUUGUCUUAGUUACUCAGUAAUCUCAAGUAAAAGAGAAAUGAAACACAUUAAAAAAUCCAGAGUGAUGUAUCAUGAGAAAAAGUCUGUUUCAGACUAUCCAGGUUUUACUUUAUGGGCACUUAAAAAAAUGUACAUGGCCUCCUACUAGCAACACAGAAAGUUCACAGCCUUGGUUAUUUCCCUAGGCCUACCUCUAUCUCACUUCAGGGCAGCCAUCCAGUGUUGCUGUCCCUGAACCAGCCUUUCUUGCAAAGAUAAGCUCUUACUGGUAAAAUUGAUCACACCACAGAAAUCAAACCUGUCCUGUUUUCUUUUACACAAUUGAGAAGUAUUUGCUCCCAUAGAACUCCUCUGCUUAGACGUAAAACAGCAGGAAAAAAAUAUAUAUAUAUAUACAGGCCUCAUUUAUAUAGAUCAUUGACAAAAUGAAAAAGCCUGGCCUUCAUUUCAGUGGGGCCAGUGAACACUUGCUAAUGAAAGUCCUCUUAUCUUUUUUGUUUUGGGAAAAUGCACAAUAGGAAAGAUGUCAGCUAAAACAAUCUUAAAUAUGCUUUUGCUCUUACUUCAGGAAAGAAAAAUCAUGUUUCAAACUGUUUCUGCUUGUCAGAAUUAGCACAUGAACUGCCUGAAGAGAAACAUGAAUAAAAAUACUGUUCCUCUUUUCUGUUCCCACUUGAAACUUCACUGCAACGUGGUUUAUAUAUAUAUAUAAUAUAUAUUAUAUAUAUAUAUAAUAUGUAUUUAUUUAUUUAUUUAUAAAUAUGUGUGUAUAUAAACACACACACACUUUUUCUCACAACGGGGAAGAUCCUAAAAUGCUUUCUGUUUAAAUAUGAAGGCAAUAGCAUGCUGUCUAUUCUGUACUUACUAUUUGCUUGACUCUAGUAAGGUUGCUAUUGAAACAAACCAACUUCAUGUCUUCUAUGUUGUAUUGAUUCAACUUGAAAGAACUAUGUUUGUUUAAAUAACCUUUGAACCUCAAGAAAUUUGCAGGAUGUUCUGUCAAAGUCUUCACAAUGUUUCAGGUAUUGUGAAGACAUACAAAAAUGCUAAGAAAUUCUAAAUAAAGGGCAAAAUCAAGAAAAUACACACAGAAAAAAAAAAGGAGGGAAAAAAAAAAAAAAAAAAAAAGAUGUUUUGCACUUUAUUUGCAAUUGUAUUUCAUCAUUUUUCUUCCAGUCCCAUCUUUUGUCACAAAUCCUAUGCUGUAGGAUCCCAGGGCUUCUUCAGUUUUCUAGACUUAACAACUCUACUCUCCAGAGAUUUUCCUAUUUUCUUUAGCAUUUCUUCUUUCCCUUCCUGUCCAAAGCCCUUGCUGAAAGCCUUCAACAAAUCAAAUCCUUGACAGCAAAUUCUUUUAUCUUCAUUUUAGAAACUUGUCACCUAUGUUUCUGUAGAAUGAUAUUUUAAACUAGCCUAGCAGAGUGAUUUAUAAGCUUAGAGACUGCUUGAUUUGACCUCUUUCACCUUGAAAGGACAUGUAAAAGGAAACAGAGAUUCAUCUUCUGCCAUUCCAUGGGCUCCCAAGCUUCUUUUCAUUGAGAACAGGACAUGAUCAUUUAUCCCGAGUGAAAUAUUGCUGGUUACAGAUGCUCUACUAUCUCUAUAAUAUAUUGUGUUUUAACUUACAUUUUUCUCACAAUCCAGUGAUGUUAAAUGCAGUAACAGGUAAAAGCCUCCAGUACCUCCAUUUUUUCCUUCAUCAGUGGUUUGCCAAAGCAUCAGUAUUUAGUUGUGUCUUCUUGACGUUUUACUUUGACACCUACAUGGACAAAUAAGCUAAAAAUAAGAGAGCUUGUAUUUUUCUUUCUACUUGUUACCCUAGACGUUAUAUAGCGAUGCAGGGAGGGGUUUAGAAUUUUAGAGCAAGCAUAUCUUUAAUAAAGAGCAGCACCAGAAGCAACAAUAGUCAUAUGUAACCAGCCACACUGAGUUAGUUUCAAUGGAAUAAAUGAGAAUUCAGUCUUAGGUGUUCAUGUAAUCUAACCAAUCUAAAGUGUUAAACCAUUUAACACGGUUUGUGGUUUUAAGUACAGAGAGCUCAGCCUGCUCAGUCACACAGUAGCUGCACAAGAAAUUCAUGCUAAAGCUGGAAAGUAUACUGAUUAGUACUUACAAAAACAAAACACAAAGCAUUUGAAAAUUGAAAACAAAUGGUUAAACAAGAAUAACUUAAUCAAAAUAUGUCAGAGUCCUUCUACCAGAUGCAGGUUAUUUGUUUAGAAUCCAUUAUGCUAGCCAGAAGUCCUUAGCAACAAGAAAGGCUUAAUUCUCUUACUCAUCUUUCAGUUCAGGACUGUAGGAGUAAAGAUUGAUUUCCUGCUUGAUAAUAAAUAUAGACAUGGCAAGAGAAAAGACAGAAGAGUGGAAAGCAGGGGAGGUGUAGCGGUUGCUGAGCCCUUCAGAAUGGAAAACACUUUGGAGAAGCAAGUUACCUUUGGUAACUGCCAAACUGGAGUCCAAUUCCCUUGGUGGUAUAGGAUACCUUUCUGGCCAAAUCAGGUUUUCUUUCAUCCAUCAUUCUUCAUUUUGCAGAGAAGCGCAGAUAUUCUCAGCUGACAUUGAAAGCAGAGUGACAGAAAGUGAGAGACCGAAAUAAAAGAUAACAAAGGGAAACAGAGACUCAGAAAACGUGGAAAGACAAGGCAGCAUCUCACUUCUGUCAGGUUGUGGGUUUGUUGGAAACAACAAGGUACACUGUUUGAUGGUCUGUGUCUGGUGAAAGCUGCCCAGUGGAGCUGAGAAUCAAUACAUGUCCUUUCCUCAAUAAGUCCUUUAGAAAUCUCUUUUACCCUAUUGGUCUCUGGUUUCUUUCUGCUUUUAUAGGUUUGCUGGAUGAUGUGAGAUUGAACAGGCCAUCCCUUCUUUAUCUCAUUCAUAUAAUUUGGUCUACUAAUUUCUCAUUUCAACCUUUCCUUGUCAUUCAUACGUCAUCUUCAUGCUACCCUUGACUGUAUAAAGAGGAUGUCUUUGAAUGAGUGAUUGUUGUCUCCAUUUCUUCUUUCUUCUGUCAUCUUUAACUGUUGCAGUUAAUUGCAAUGCUUUAUGAACUUCUAUGAGUUUCUCAGAGAUGAUUCCAAAAUUACAAUGGACAUGUGGUCUCUAAUUAUCACAAAUGCAUGGAGGAGUCAACAAGUGAGUAACAAACUCUUUCAUUUCAGCCACGGAUGCUUACUGGAAUGUGAAAUACCAUUAGAACAUUAAAAUACCCUAGUAAGGCAAAAAGGGAACUAAGGAUCCUGAUGUAGCUACUACAGCCAAAACUCUUUUAUAUUCCAAGAACAAACUUCAGGAUUUCCACUAACCACUAUAAAGUUCAAAGCAGUCUAUCCAGCCCUUUAGGCUGGUGAGUCUUUCUCCAUGGUAAACAUGCCCAAUGUUUCACAACAUUCUCUCAGAGAUGGCAGCUAGCCACCUGGCAGUUGUUCUUAUGAAAGGUUUUCUUCAUUUUAAUUAUAAAAAUAUCCUAACAAAUGCCUCCCUUGCCUAUUAUGCUGCUUUUAAGAUACAGUUCAAUGUGAUUUAUGAGGGGGUAAAUUAACACAUUCCUGCUAUGGUCAUUAUAGCUAUAGUUGAUUGGGCAGUAUCAAGAGCCAGUUUUUUUUGCAGUUUAGGUACCAGAAGCAUUUGAUCACAUUUACACAGACGACAUUCAGUACUGCCACUCUUAUAAUAAACCAACUUGUCAGUGCCAGCUAUUUAAUUUUGUAAAGCCACUACCCACAAUUUAUUAGUGAUGGCAUUUCAAGCCUGAAGAGUCGUAUAUUUUGGGGACAGUGAACAUCCUUGAAACAAGCUUAUGCUAAUGUCUUAUAUCUUGCAAUUGGGCAGAAUAGGAACAUUCAUGCAGAGAGUGAUAGCUGCUCAGCUGAGCUUUGCAGCUGCUCUCUUCUUCUACAAUCAUCUGAAUGAAAUUCACAUA